GAUCAAGGCUCAGGAUGAACGCUAGCUACAGGCUUAACACAUGCAAGUCGAGGGGCAGCAUGGUCUUAGCUUGCUAAGGCCGAUGGCGACCGGCGCACGGGUGAGUAACGCGUAUCCAACCUGCCUUACACUCUUGGACAGCCUUCUGAAAGGGAGAUUAAUACAAGAUGUUAUCAUGGGUAAGCAUUUUCACAUGAUUAAAGGUUUACCGGUGUAAGAUGGGGAUGCGUUCCAUUAG
RNAcentral lists this ribosomal RNA (238 nucleotides) under uncultured bacterium. Its description in RNAcentral is "partial 16S ribosomal RNA". It matches the Rfam family "Bacterial small subunit ribosomal RNA", at positions 15 to 244 of the family's 1533-position model. The record is from RNAcentral.